UCGGGAAUUUUGGGCAAUGGGCGAAAGCCUGAUGGAGCGACGCCGCGUGGAGGAUGAAGGCCUUCGGGUUGUAAACUCCUGUCAUGAGGGAACAAGAAAGUGAUAGUACCUCAAGAGGAAGAGACGGCUAACUCUGUGCCAGCAGCCGCGGUAAUACAGAGGUCUCAAGCGUUGUUCGGAUUUACUGGGCGUAAAGGGUGCGUAGGCGGCGGCGUAAGUCGAGUGUGAAAUCUUCCGGCUCAACCGGAAAUUGCACUCGAUACUGUGUCGCUCGAGGACUGUAGAGGAGACUGGAAUUCACGGUGUAGCAGUGAAAUGCGUAGAUAUCGUGAGGAAGACCGGUGGCGAAAGCGAGUCUCUGGGCAGUUCCUGACGCUGAGGCACGAAGGCUAGGGGAGCAAACGGGAUUAGAUACCCCGGUAGUCCCUGAGCGGGCUGGCAAGGCGCAU
This 449-nucleotide ribosomal RNA is filed under the name uncultured bacterium. RNAcentral describes it as "bacterial SSU rRNA". It matches the Rfam family "Bacterial small subunit ribosomal RNA", at positions 355 to 825 of the family's 1533-position model. The record is from RNAcentral.